GACGAACGCUGGCGGCGUGCUUAACACAUGCAAGUCGAACGGAAAGGCCCAAGCUUGCUGGAGUACUCGAGUGGCGAACGGGUGAGUAACACGUGGGUAAUCUGCCCUGCACUCCGGGAUAAGCCUGGGAAACUGGGUCUAAUACCGGAUAUGACCUUUCUCUUUAUGGGGUUUGGUGGAAAGUUUUUCGGUGUAGGAUGAGCCCGCGGCCUAUCAGCUUGUUGGUGGGGUGAUGGCCUACCAAGGCGACGACGGGUAGCCGGCCUGAGAGGGUGAUCGGCCACAUUGGGACUGAGAUACGGCCCAGACUCCUACGGGAGAGAGCAGUGGAGAAUAUUGCACAAUGGGCGGAAGCCUGAUGCAGCGGCGCCGCGUGAGGGAUGACGGCCUUCGGGUUGUAAACCUCUUUCAGCAGGGACGGAGCGUAAGUGACGGUACCUGCAGAAGAAGCACCGGCUAACUACGUG
RNAcentral lists this ribosomal RNA (467 nucleotides) under uncultured bacterium. Its description in RNAcentral is "partial 16S ribosomal RNA". It matches the Rfam family "Bacterial small subunit ribosomal RNA", at positions 28 to 507 of the family's 1533-position model. The record is from RNAcentral.